This 72-nucleotide transfer RNA is filed under the name Camelus bactrianus (Bactrian camel). It matches the Rfam family "tRNA". Rfam says of the family: Transfer RNA (tRNA) molecules are approximately 80 nucleotides in length. Their secondary structure includes four short double-helical elements and three loops (D, anti-codon, and T loops). RNAcentral also lists the same sequence under 2 other names. Lineage: Eukaryota; Metazoa; Chordata; Mammalia; Artiodactyla; Camelidae. The record is from Rfam by way of RNAcentral.
GGAGGUGUAGCUCAGUGGUAGAGCACAUGUUUAGCAUGCAUGAGGUUCUGAGUUCAAUCCUCAGCACUUCCA